This 29-nucleotide non-coding RNA is filed under the name Rattus norvegicus (Norway rat). The record is from RNAcentral. Lineage: Eukaryota; Metazoa; Chordata; Mammalia; Rodentia; Muridae.
UGAGGAGACAUGUGUGACUGUUCUUUGCU